RNAcentral lists this non-coding RNA (45 nucleotides) under Echinostoma caproni. The record is from RNAcentral. Lineage: Eukaryota; Metazoa; Platyhelminthes; Trematoda; Plagiorchiida; Echinostomatidae.
UCACUGCUGACAAGUCCUAAACAGGACGAAACAGCUGUCCAGUGC